Molecule: transfer RNA, 60 nt
Filed under: Aphrophora maritima
Lineage: Eukaryota; Metazoa; Arthropoda; Insecta; Hemiptera; Aphrophoridae
Description: tRNA-Gly
Rfam family: tRNA
About the family: Transfer RNA (tRNA) molecules are approximately 80 nucleotides in length. Their secondary structure includes four short double-helical elements and three loops (D, anti-codon, and T loops).
Source: RNAcentral
AAUUCUUUAGUAUAAAGUAUAUUUGACUUCCAAUCAAAAGGACCAAAAUUGGAAGAAUUA